RNAcentral lists this ribosomal RNA (460 nucleotides) under uncultured bacterium. RNAcentral describes it as "partial 16S ribosomal RNA". It matches the Rfam family "Bacterial small subunit ribosomal RNA", at positions 338 to 795 of the family's 1533-position model. The record is from RNAcentral.
CCUACGGGGAGCAGCAGUGAGGAAUAUUGGUCAAUGGACGAGAGUCUGAACCAGCCAAGUAGCGUGAAGGAUGACUGCCCUAUGGGUUGUAAACUUCUUUUAUAUGGGAAUAAAAUGUUCCACGUUUGGGAUUUUGUAUGUACCAUAUGAAUAAGGAUCGUCUAACUCCGUGCCAGCAGCCGCGGUAAUACGGAGGAUCCGAGCGUUAUCCGGAUUUAUUGGGUUUAAAGGGAGCGUAGGUGGAUUGUUAAGUCAGUUGUGAAAGUUUGCGGCUCAACCGUAAAAUUGCAGUUGAAACUGGCAGUCUUGAGUACAGUAGAGGUGGGCGGAAUUCGUGGUGUAGCGGUGAAAUGCUUAGAUAUCACGAAGAACUCCGAUUGCGAAGGCAGUUCACUGGACUGCAACUGACACUGAGGCUCGAAAGUGUGGGUAUCAAACAGGAUUAGAUACCCCUGUAGUC